This 253-nucleotide ribosomal RNA is filed under the name uncultured bacterium. RNAcentral's name for it is "partial 16S ribosomal RNA". It matches the Rfam family "Bacterial small subunit ribosomal RNA", at positions 524 to 776 of the family's 1533-position model. The record is from RNAcentral.
UACGGAGGGUGCAAGCGUUAUCCGGAUUCACUGGGUUUAAAGGGUUCGUAGGUGGCCAACUAAGUCAGACGUGAAAUCCCUCAGCUUAACUGGGGAACUGCGUCUGAGACUGGAUGGCUUGAGUGCAGGAGAGGAACGCGGAAUUCCAGGUGUAGCGGUGAAAUGCGUAGAUAUCUGGAGGAACACCGGUGGCGAAGGCGGCGUUCUGGACUGCAACUGACACUGAUGAACGAAAGCCAGGGGAGCAAACGGG